GCGGAGGGAUCAUUACCGAGUUAUUCAACUCAUCAACCCUGUGAACUUACCUAAACGUUGCUUCGGCGGGAACAGACGGCCCCGUGAAACGGGCCGCCCCCGCCAGAGGACCCCUAACUCUGUUUCUAUAAUGUUUCUUCUGAGUAAAACAAGCAAAUAAAUUAAAACUUUCAACAACGGAUCUCUUGGCUCUGGCAUCGAUGAAGAACGCAGCGAAAUGCGAUAAGUAAUGUGAAUUGCAGAAUUCAGUGAAUCAUCGAAUCUUUGAACGCACAUUGCGCCCGCCAGUAUUCUGGCGGGCAUGCCUGUUCGAGCGUCAUUACAACCCUCAGGCCCCCGGGCCUGGCGUUGGGGAUCGGCGGAGCCCCCCGUGGGCACACGCCGUCCCCCAAAUACAGUGGCGGUCCCGCCGCAGCUUCCAUCGCGUAGUAGCUAACACCUCGCGACUGGAGAGCGGCGCGGCCACGCCGUAAAACACCCAACUCUUCUGAAGUUGACCUCGAAUCAGGUAGGAAUACCCGCUGAACUUAAGCAUAUC
This 538-nucleotide ribosomal RNA is filed under the name Fusarium sp. RNAcentral describes it as "eukaryotic LSU rRNA". The stretch from base 166 to 319 matches the Rfam family "5.8S ribosomal RNA". Lineage: Eukaryota; Fungi; Ascomycota; Sordariomycetes; Hypocreales; Nectriaceae. The record is from RNAcentral.